AUGGACAACGGGAAAAUGGUUGGAAUGGUGUCCAUUGGUGACGUGGUUCGUGCUGUGGUGAGUGAGCACCGGGAGGAGCUAAACCGCUUGAAUGCUUUUAUUCAAGGUGGUUACUAGAUAGUGAUGAUGACGAAGAAGUGAGACGCUGCUUUAGUUGACAUGCCGGAAUGACAAACAGUAAUAACCCUCGCCCGAGUGCCUGUAUAUAUCGUGUGUUCGUUUGUGCACCUCCGGUUGUUCGACAAACAGUAAUAACCCUCGCUCGGGUGCCUGUAUAUAUCGUGUGUUCGUUUGUGCACCUCCGGUUGUUCGACAGACAGUAAUAACCGUCGCUCGAGUGCCUGUAUAUAUCGUGUGUUCGUUUGUUCACCUCCGGUUGUUGUUUGGUUCUGUACUUCCAGUUACUGUCUAAUUACAAACCUGUGGGACUAUCAAGUACUUAACAAUAAGCAAUGUUAUGUUUUGCUUAAAUCGUCUUUCUUUCUCCAGUCGAUGGUAGCGCGUGCGUACCUUGUAUUUUGCAUCGCACACGUUUAUGUCGAAACCAUAAUCUUGAAUCUCGUUUGGUGUUUAAGCAUGCAAAUCAAGCUAGUGUUCAAAUAUACUCGUUUGAAGUGUUUUUAAAAUGAUUGAAAAUGUUUU
This 642-nucleotide long non-coding RNA is filed under the name Malus domestica (apple). RNAcentral describes it as "long non-coding RNA (MDOM_LNC002366)". The record is from RNAcentral. Lineage: Eukaryota; Viridiplantae; Streptophyta; Magnoliopsida; Rosales; Rosaceae.